RNAcentral lists this transfer RNA (78 nucleotides) under Phormidium sp. 7B10. RNAcentral's name for it is "tRNA-Ile". It matches the Rfam family "tRNA". From Rfam's summary of the family: Transfer RNA (tRNA) molecules are approximately 80 nucleotides in length. The record is from RNAcentral. RNAcentral also lists the same sequence under 1 other name. Lineage: Bacteria; Bacillati; Cyanobacteriota; Cyanophyceae; Oscillatoriales; Oscillatoriaceae.
UGGGCUAUUAGCUCAGGUGGUUAGAGCGCACCCCUGAUAAGGGUGAGGUCCCUGGUUCAAGUCCAGGAUGGCCCACCU